GGGGAGCCCUAGCACAGGUGCUGCAUGGCCGUCGUCAGCUCGUGCCGUGAGGUGUUGGGUUAAGUCCCGCAACGAGCGCAACCCCCGCCGUUAGUUGCCAGCGGUUCGGCCGGGCACUCUAACGGGACUGCCCGCGAAAGCGGGAGGAAGGAGGGGACGACGUCUGGUCAGCAUGGCCCUUACGGCCUGGGCGACACACGUGCUACAAUGCCCACUACAAAGCGAUGCCACCCGGCAACGGGGAGCUAAUCGCAAAAAGGUGGGCCCAGUUCGGAUUGGGGUCUGCAACCCGACCCCAUGAAGCCGGAAUCGCUAGUAAUCGCGGAUCAGCCAUGCCGCGGUCGAAUACGUUCCCGGGCCUU
Molecule: ribosomal RNA, 362 nt
Filed under: uncultured Thermus sp.
Lineage: Bacteria; Thermotogati; Deinococcota; Deinococci; Thermales; Thermaceae
Description: bacterial SSU rRNA
Rfam family: Bacterial small subunit ribosomal RNA
Source: RNAcentral